UACAGAGGGUGCGAGCGUUGUCCGGAAUCACUGGGCGUAAAGGGCGCGUAGGUGGCGACCCAAGUCUGUGGUGAAAGCUCGCCGCUUAACGGCGAGUCGGCCACGGAUACUGGGUGGCUCGAGCGACUGUAGGGGCAGAUGGAAUUCCGGGUGUAGCGGUGGAAUGCGUAGAGAUCCGGAAGAACACCGGUGGCGAAGGCGGUCUGCUGGGCAGUAGCUGACACUGAGGCGCGACAGCGUGGGGAGCAAACAGG
RNAcentral lists this ribosomal RNA (254 nucleotides) under uncultured bacterium. RNAcentral's name for it is "partial 16S ribosomal RNA". It matches the Rfam family "Bacterial small subunit ribosomal RNA", at positions 524 to 776 of the family's 1533-position model. The record is from RNAcentral.